This 253-nucleotide ribosomal RNA is filed under the name uncultured bacterium. RNAcentral's name for it is "partial 16S ribosomal RNA". It matches the Rfam family "Bacterial small subunit ribosomal RNA", at positions 524 to 776 of the family's 1533-position model. The record is from RNAcentral.
GACAGAGGGUGCAAACGUUGUUCGGAUUUACUGGGCGUAAAGCGCGUGUAGGCGGCUUCGCAAGUUGGAUGUGAAAUCCCCCGGCUCAACCGGGGAAGUGCCCCUGAUACUGAUGGCCUUGAGGGAGGUAGGGGCGUGCGGAACUUCCGGUGGAGCGGUGAAAUGCGUAGAUAUCGGAAGGAACACCGGUGGCGAAAGCGGCGCGCUGGACCUCUUCUGACGCUGAGGCGCGAAAGCCAGGGGAGCGAACGGG